CGGACAGCCAGGCAGCGACAUUGCCUGGCUGGAGGGCUGCUGAGAACAACCCGGAGACUCUUCAGGCAUUUUCCCUAACGUCCCUUUGGACUCCAGAGGAAUUUAGGUCAGCGGAACAUGAUGGCUCCAGACGGACCCUGGCCUUGAAACUCUUACACCACCAAAAAGCAGCACUGUAAGCUUCUUCACGAAUGCAAGUGGCCAGAGCCUGGUCUCGCGUCCUGUCCCGGAGCUGCGGUCGCUCCAGCAGCACCCUGAUAUUUUACAGACUCGGAAGGAACAGCAUCGCAUCGACUCAUCCGUGCCGCUUCCCCAAGCCACCUCCGAACUGCACGGCAGUUUCUCGCCCGUGCCUGGACCUGUUUACCGCGUGAGAAACGCAACUCAUAACUGCAAACAAUAUUUGCAAAUGGUGCCUGUCAGCAGGAAAAUGCUCGGGAAGAUGUAAACGGCUUGUACGUAAGAGGCCCAGACAAAGUUAUGCAGUAAAGCACCCGCAGCCUCCCUUGUAUUUGGCAUCCCACCCUUCAAAGCAGCAGCUGGGGUAGGUAGCUCAACUAAAGCUCAUUUAGCAAGCUGUAAAGGGCCCUCGCCACCCUUUUGAAUUGCAGGGAGGCUGAAUACGCAUGAUGCAGAUGCUGCCGGAGCACACUAAUUGGCACGCUCUAGCAGACUCGAUGAAUUGAGCGUGCUCCAAUGUGUACUCUUUAGCCUGUGCCUGAGCAGAGGUCCGCCACGUGUAUCGGUGCCCUUCCAUUCCAAAGACAUAGGAGAAGCAGAGACGCUAGGUUUCAAGCAAACCAAGGUCAACUUUCUGUAUUCUGUUGGAUCCUGGAGCGACAGUGAGCGCAGCGGUGUUUGUGGCGGUGGUGUAGCCAUUUUGCUUCUUGCAAGUCAAAGGAGAACGGAGGGGAAAACAAGUCGGCCCCAACACAUCUCUUCAACUGAGCAUUAGUUGAAGUUCCCAAACCUGCAGAGAGACUGGUAGUUGUGCAGGUCUGUCUCCGUUAAUGUUUGCUUUACGGUUUCUCUUCUUGCAUUAUAACUGUCAUGCUUUUGAAGUCUCCAGCGGAGGUGCGCGGCAGGUUACCCCCGGUGGGGCCAGGGAGACUGCAGCCAGCACUGGGCUGGCCCCAGUAGCCUAACCUGGGGUCCCAGGUGCCUCCUGGGGU
This is a long non-coding RNA of Alligator mississippiensis (American alligator), 1172 nucleotides long. RefSeq lists it as uncharacterized. NCBI's taxonomy places the organism in Eukaryota, Metazoa, Chordata, Crocodylia, Alligatoridae. The record is from RefSeq and is a predicted model, not a curated record. The transcript is spliced from 3 exons.